Molecule: ribosomal RNA, 253 nt
Filed under: uncultured bacterium
Lineage: Bacteria
Description: partial 16S ribosomal RNA
Rfam family: Bacterial small subunit ribosomal RNA
Source: RNAcentral
UACGGGGGGGGCAAGCGUUGUUCGGAAUUACUGGGCGUAAAGGGCUCGUAGGUGGCCAACUAAGUCAGACGUGAAAUCCCUCGGCUUAACCGGGGAACUGCGUCUGAUACUGGAUGGCUUGAGUUUGGGAGAGGGACGCGGAAUUCCAGGUGUAGCGGUGAAAUGCGUAGAUAUCUGGAGGAACACCGGUGGCGAAGGCGGCAUCCUGGACCAUGACUGACGCUGAGGAGCGAAAGCCAGGGGAGCAAACGGG